UUAAGUGACUGCAGUAUAUGGAUGAUG
Molecule: non-coding RNA, 27 nt
Filed under: Homo sapiens (human)
Lineage: Eukaryota; Metazoa; Chordata; Mammalia; Primates; Hominidae
Source: RNAcentral